RNAcentral lists this transfer RNA (90 nucleotides) under Accumulibacter sp. Its description in RNAcentral is "tRNA-Ser". It matches the Rfam family "tRNA". From Rfam's summary of the family: Transfer RNA (tRNA) molecules are approximately 80 nucleotides in length. Their secondary structure includes four short double-helical elements and three loops (D, anti-codon, and T loops). Lineage: Bacteria; Pseudomonadati; Pseudomonadota; Betaproteobacteria. The record is from RNAcentral.
GGAAGCGUGGCCGAGUGGCUUAAGGCAGUGCUCUUGAAAAGCACCGAGGGCUGAAACCCUCCGUGAGUUCGAAUCUCACCGCUUCCGCCA